Molecule: non-coding RNA, 114 nt
Organism: Favolaschia claudopus
Lineage: Eukaryota; Fungi; Basidiomycota; Agaricomycetes; Agaricales; Mycenaceae
Source: the annotation of a GenBank genome assembly
GGCUCAAUGGUCUAGAAGUAUGAUUCGCCCUUCGGGUUUACCCGGUUACAGCACCGCCAUAGGUCACGUGACCUGACAUGGGCGAGGUCCCGGGUUCAAUUCCCGGUUGAGCCC